This 548-nucleotide ribosomal RNA is filed under the name uncultured Glomeromycotina. RNAcentral's name for it is "partial 18S small subunit ribosomal RNA". It matches the Rfam family "Eukaryotic small subunit ribosomal RNA", at positions 550 to 1109 of the family's 1831-position model. Lineage: Eukaryota; Fungi; Glomeromycota. The record is from RNAcentral.
UUGGAGGGCAAGUCUGGUGCCAGCAGCCGCGGUAAUUCCAGCUCCAAUAGCGUAUAUUAAAGUUGUUGCAGUUAAAAAGCUCGUAGUUGAAUUUCGGGAUUAAUUUAUCGGUCGUGCUUUUGUACGUACUGGUAUUAUUGAUUCCUACCUUCUGACGAACCAUGAUGUCAUUAAUUUGGUGUCUUGGGGAAUCAGGACUGUUACUUUGAAAAAAUUAGAGUGUUUAAAGCAGGCUCACGCUUGAAUACAUUAGCAUGGAAUAACGAAAUAGGACGUUUGAUUCUAUCUUGUUGGUUUCUAGGAYCGMCGUAAUGAUUAAUAGGGAUAGUUGGGGGCAUUAGUAUUCAAUUGUCAGAGGUGAAAUUCUUGGAUUUAUUGAAGACUAACUACUGCGAAAGCAUUUGCCAAGGAUGUUUUCAUUAAUCAAGAACGAAAGUUAGGGGAUCGAAGACGAUCAGAUACCGUCGUAGUCUUAACCAUAAACUAUGCCGACUAGGGAUCGGAUGAUGUUAAUUUUUUAAUGACUCAUMKKWKKCRKKRCGGGAAAC